This 406-nucleotide ribosomal RNA is filed under the name uncultured bacterium. RNAcentral describes it as "partial 16S ribosomal RNA". It matches the Rfam family "Bacterial small subunit ribosomal RNA", at positions 29 to 526 of the family's 1533-position model. The record is from RNAcentral.
AUUGAACGCUGGCGGCAGGCUUAACACAUGCAAGUCGAACGAGGGGCGGACGGGUGAGUAAUGCUUGGGAAUCUAGCUUAUGGAGGGGGAUAACUACGGGAAACUGUAGCUAAUACCGCGUACCAUAGGAUGAGCCAAAAUGGGCUUAGGUAGGUGGUGAGGUAAAGGCUCACCAAGACGACGAUCUCUAGCUGGUCUGAGAGGAUGACCAGCCAAACUGGGACGGAUACACGGCCCAGACGCCGACGUGAGGCAGCAGUGGGGAAUAUUGCGCAAUGGGGGCAACCCUGACGCAGCCAUGCCGCGUGAAUGAAGAAGGCCUUAGGGUUGUAAAGUACUUUCAGCGGGGAGGCGUUACCCGCAGAAGAAGCACCGGCUAACUCCGUGCCAGCAGCCGCGGUAAUAG